AGUGGCAUCAUUGCACUGUGACUGUGCAGGUCCCAAACAGUAUGGACAUGAAUGUCCUCAAGCUGCAUGUUAGCAGGGCUUCUAAUUCCAUCUGCAAGUGAUAGUGUGUGGAGCUUAGUUGCACAGAGCGCAUGUUACUGGAGGAGAUAUGGGUCUGUGUCAUCCUGCAUGGGAAUGAUCCUAAAAACAAAGUGAUCAGUGACUGCUCAGGACUGUGGAAAGGUCACUUGGAGCAGUGGGAAAAGGUCUGGCAGAGGAAUAAGAAGAUACAGGUCUUAGAACAAGCCCUGGGACUUCAACCAAGUCAUUUAACAUCUGGGGCCUUCGUUUAUUUAUCCUCCCAGCAGAUAAAGCAAUACCUGCCCUGUCUUCCUAACCUUGGAGGGGUCAAAAAAGUGAUGGGUGUGAAAGCAUUUUGUAAACUGUAGUGCAAGCAUACGGCAGGGGAGUGAACCAUACUUUCACUAGCGACUUGAAUGAGGUGAUAAAGAAAAGGCUCAGAACUUCAGAAAAUGCAAGAGGGGCUUGACCCUGGAUUGGCAGAGGAAAGCAAUGGUGGGAUCGAUACCUUGGAGAGCCAAGGACCAAGGGGUUAAGGGUCCAUGAGGACAGGCCUGGAUCAUCAGGAAGCUGAGUGUGGAUUCCAAGAGUCUCAAGGUUAGAGAAGUCGCCUAGUCCACCUCCCCUCUCUGCUUCUCACAGAAGGGUCUGCUGAACACUCUGGUGACAGAGAACUCACCCAACAUGUUCCAUGGCAGAGGCUUUUCAUUAGAUCAAGGUGACAUCUGUUUUACUGGAGCUUCCAACCACGUGUCCCAAUACUGCCCUUAGUCACAGGCAUCCAGGUCCUCUCUCUCAGGACAGCACUUUGAAUAAAUGAGGACAGCUCCCAUCCCCCUUUCUCCCAGUUGACUUUCCAGAAACAUCUCAUAUUGUUGUUGGCUUUCCACCAUUUUUCCUCUUCACUUCCUGGGCCUACUACUACACUGUGUGUCCUCCACUUGGUCUCUUCCUGAAAGCAACACUGUGCACAAUGUUCCUGGGGGCAGACUUAUUAAACCAAGUGGACCACUUCCUUCAUCUUAGGUGUCACAGCUCCAUCAAUGCAUCCUCAAAUCACAAUGAUUUUUCUGCACUUCACCCUACAGGUUCCUAUUUAACGUUACAUUGGCUAGGACAUUACUCAUUUACACACAGGCUCUGCUGAGCCCCAUCUUUGCCAAGACUCUGACUUCUGUUGUUUCAUUUAAAGAUGUAAGAACAGGGCCUCACAGUUCUUCCUAAGGAAUUUUACUUUGUGGCUGGGUGCGGUGGCUCACACCUGUAAUUCCAGCACUUUGGGAGGCCAAGUCAGGUGGAUGACUUGAGGUCAGGAGUUCGAGACCAGCCUGGCCAUCAUGAUGAAACCCCACCUCUACUAAAAAUACAAAAAUUAGCCGGGUGUGGUGGCAAGCACCUAUAUCCCAGCUACUUGGCAGGUUGAGGCAGGAGAAUCGCUUGAGCCCGGGAGGCAGAGGUUGCAGUGAGCCGAGAUCAUUGCACUCCAGCCUGGGCAACAGAGUGAGACUCCAUCUCAAACAAACAAACAAACAAAAAACAAAAACAACACAAAACAACAACAACAAAAACCAGAAAUUUUACUUUGCUACAUUCAGCCCAUAAUUUUUAGCAACCCAGAUCUUUCUGGAUCCUGGCUGUAUCUUCUCAGUGUGUUUCUUCUUCCUCCCAGUUUCCUGACCCCUGCAAAUAGGGCUGUAAAGAGGCUCUCUGAUGCUGCACCCCCUCCCUCAUUGCCACCAUGCAAAUCACAGAGGACCCCCACCAGGCCAGACUGGCUCACCUGCUUGAUGAAUGCACCAGCCCACUCUCCCAUCCGGGGAGGCCUGUCGGGCAUAAUGAUGUGGAACAUACUUGUUUUCUAUUCAGCUACGAAAGCAGGGUAUUAUCAAAUUUUAAAAGGCAUCGGCCAGGCACUGUGGCACAUACCUGUAAAACCAGGCACUUUGGGAGGCCAAAGUGGGUGGAUCGCUUGAGCCCAGGAGUUCAAGACCAGCCUGGGCAACAUGGCAAAACCCCGUCCCCUCUGCAAAACACACAAAAAUUAGCUGGGGAUGGUGGCACAGGCCUGUAGUCUCAGUUUCUCGGGAAGUUGAAGUGGAAGGAUCACUUGAGCCCGAGAGGCGGAGGUUGCAGUGAGCUGAAAUCCCACCACUGCACUCGGCCUGGCAGCCUGGGCAACAGAGAGAGACACUGCCUCAAAAAAAAUAAAUAAAAGGCAUCGAGAAAAGAAAGGGAGGAAGGGAGGAUUUUGACAAAAAAUUAUCAAUAGUAACAGUGGCGUCUGUGUAACAGGACUAUAGGUUUGGCUUUUUUAUUUAUUUAUUUAUUUAUUUUUUUGAUGGAAUCUUGCUCUGUCGCCCAGGCUGGAGUGCAGUGGUGCGAUCUCGGCUCACUGCAACCUCUGCCUCCCGGUUCAAGCGAUUCUCCUGCCUCAGCCUCCCAAGUAGCUGGGACUACAGGCGCCCGCCACCACGCUCGGCUAAUUUUUUGUAUUCUUAGUAGAGACGGGGUUUCACUGUGUUAGCCAGGAGGGUCUCGAUCUCCUGACCUCCUGAUCCGCCUGCCUCGGCCUCCCAAAGUGCUGAGAUUACAGGCGUGAGCCACCGCGCCUGGCCCCUUCAUGCGUUUUUACACGCUUCAUCCAACCAAUAGUUCAUGGAGGCCUUAGGUGUGUGUUUCCAAAUUUUCUAUGCUGAGUGUGUGUUCUUUGGAAAACCAGAAAAAAUAAAGCGAAAAAUAAAAUGAAAAUGAAUAAAGA
This 2818-nucleotide long non-coding RNA is filed under the name Homo sapiens (human). Its description in RNAcentral is "non-protein coding LINC00608:12". The record is from RNAcentral. Lineage: Eukaryota; Metazoa; Chordata; Mammalia; Primates; Hominidae.